RNAcentral lists this long non-coding RNA (17925 nucleotides) under Solanum lycopersicum (tomato). RNAcentral describes it as "long non-coding RNA (SLYC_LNC001305)". The record is from RNAcentral. Lineage: Eukaryota; Viridiplantae; Streptophyta; Magnoliopsida; Solanales; Solanaceae.
GAAUAGUGGAACCUGUUGCAUAAACAGGCUUGUGGAUUCAUUAGGCAAUGGGUCGAUGAUAAUGUGUUGAACCAUAUUUCUGGGGAAAUACAUGCUCGAACCCUAUGGGGGCAUCUUGAAAGUUUAUAUGCUCCAAAGACUGGCAACAACAAAAUGUUCUUAAUAAAGCAGAUGUUGAGUUUGAAAUAUCAUGAUGGUUCUCCGGUGACAGACCGUCUGAAUAAUUUUCAGGGGAUUAUGAAUCAAUUAUCUGCUAUGGGCAUCAAAUUUGAUGAAGAAAUUCAAGUCUUGCUUCUACUUGGAUCCCUACCAGAUUUAUGUGAAACAUUUAGAACGCCAUUGUCAAAUUCUGCUCCGGAUGGUGUGAUCACUAUGGAAUCCACCAAGAGUAGUGUCUUGAACGAAGAGAUGAGAAGAAAAACUCAAAGUUCCUCUUCGUUGGAUGUCCUGAUAACUGGCCCCAGGGGGAGAAAUAAAACUCGUGGUUCUCACUAUAGAGAACAAAAUAGGAGCAAAUCCAAAGGCAGACUUAAGGAUAUUGAGUGCUAUCAUUGUGGCAUGAAAGGGCACACAAAGAAGUUCUGUAGGAAGUUGAAGAGGGAAAACAAAAACAAAAAGGACACUAAAGAAGAUGGCAAUGAAAACUGCCUAGCCACCAUCACCACCGAAGAUCUUGUUACCAUUCUUGAUGCAAACAUGAUAAAUAUUGCUUGUGAUGAGUCAAGCUGGGUUGUGGACACUGGUGCCGCAUCUCAUGUGACAUCAAGGAAGGAUUUUUUUCUUUUCCUACACUCCUGGUGAUUUUGGAACCUUGAGUAUGGUGUAAUGAGACUGUUUCUAGGGUGGUUGGUAUUGGUACAAUUUGUUUGGAAAUUAGUGUUGAAACUAAACUAGUUUUGAACAAUGUGAAACAUGCUCCUUAUGUUCGUCUGCACCUGAUUUCUGUUGGUGUUUUAGAUGAUGAAAAAUAUGUUAGUACCAAUAGUGAUGGAAAAUGGAAGCUCAUUAAGGGUUCCUUGGUUGUGGCUCAUGGUAACAAACGUCGUGGUCUAUACUAGACUACGGCCUCUACUUGUGUUGAUAUGGUGAAUACGGUUGAAGCGAUAGCUCUUCAACAUUAUGGCACAAGAGACUUAGCCACAUUAGCGACAAAGGACUUAAUGUUCUAGCCAAGAAGAAAUUAUUAUCAAAGUUCCAAAGUGCUAAAUUAGAAAAAUGUGAACACUACUUGACUGGUAAACAAAAUAGAGUUUCCUUUAAGUCCUACCCUCCUUCGAGAAAGACAGAGUUGCUUGAGUUAGUGCACUCUGAUUUAUGUGGUCCAAUGAAGACAAAGACAUAAGGUGGUGCACUUUACUUUAUCACUUUCAUUGAUGAUUGCUCGAGAAAACUUUAGGUCUAUGUCUUGAAGACUAAAGACCAAGUGUUAGGUGUCUUUAAGCCGUUUCAGGCUUCAGUUGAAAGAGAAACUGGAAAGAAAGUGAAAUGUAUUCGUAUUGAUAAUGGUGGUGAAUAUUGUGGAUCAUUUGACGAAUACUGCAAGUAUCAAGGUAUUAGACACCAUAAGACUCCUCAGCUUAAUGGUUUGGCUGAGAGGAUGAACAAGACCUGUUUGCUUUCUGAAGCAAAGUUGCCAAACUCUUUUUGGGGUGAGGCUUUAUUGACCGUUGCACAUGUUAUUAAUCUAUCUACUACUGUUGCUUUGCAAAGUGAUGCCAAAUAGUGUUUGGUAUGGAAAGGAUGUUUCCUACGACCAUUUGAGAGUAUUUGGUUGCAAAGCUUUUGUACAUGCUCCGAAAGAUGAGAGGUCAAAGUUACAUGCCAAGACAAGGCAAUGUAUCUUCAUUUGAUAUGGCCUAGAUGAAUUUGGUUACAGGCUAUAUGAUCCAAUUGAAAAGAAACUUGUGAGAAGCCGUGAUAUUAUUUUCAUUGAGAAUCAAACAAUUGAAGAUAUUGACAAAGCGAAGAAGGUAGAAUCUUCAAGUUUUGAUGGUAUAGUUCAUCAUGAUGAAGUUCCUCACGCAAGUGUGCAUGAUGUUGUUGGAUUUGAUAAUCAUGGUGAUGCCCAGAACCAUGUAUCGAAUCAACAUGUUGAUGUUGAUAAUAACAAUGAUAUUGUUAUUGAUGAUCCUGUUUCUCAUGAAGUUGUGGACGAAUCAAAUAUUCUGCUUCGGAGGUCCACAAGACAGCGGUUUCCUUUCUCCCGUUAUUCCCCAAAUGAGUAUGUGUUACUCAGUGAUGGGGGAGAACCUGAAUGUUAUGAGGAGGCCAUGGAAUAUGAGCACAAGAAUCAAUGGAUUGAAGCCAUGCAAGACGAGAUGAAGUCUUUGCAUAAGAACCACACUUAUGAGUUGGUAAAAUUGCCCAAGGGCAUGAGAGCUUUGAAGAACAAGUGGUGUUCAAAGUUAAAGUUGAAGAACACAACUUGAAGCCCAGGUACAAAGCUAGAUUGGUUGUUAAGGGAUUCGGUCAAAGGAAAGGUAUUGACUUUGACGAAAUAUUUUCUCCUAUUGUGAAAAUGUCCUUGAUUAGGACAGUUCUAGGUUUGGCUGCUAGUCUUAAUUUAGAGAUUGAGCAGAUGGAUGUGAAGAUGGCUUUCCUUCACGGUAACCUAGAAGAAGAGAUUUAUAUGGAACAACCUGAGGGCUUCAAAGUAGAUGGUAAAGAAAAUUUUGUAUGCAAAUUCAAAAAGAGUCUUUAUGGCCUAAAACAAGCUCCCGACAAUGGUACAAAAAGUUUGAAUCUGUUAUGGGAGAGCAAGACUAUAAGAAGACUUCUUCAGAUCAUUGCGUAUUGUAUAAAAAAUUUCUGACAGAGAUUUUAUCAUCAUUUUGUUGUAUGUCGAUGAUAUGUUGAUUGUGGGCAAGAAUACUUCCAAAAUUGACGAGCUGAAGAAAGAGUUGUGUAAGUCUUUUUAUAUGAAAUACUUGGGUCAUGCCAAACAAAUUUUGGGCAUGAGAAUUAAUCGUCUUAGAGAUAUAAGGAAGAUUUAUUUGUCCCAGAAGAAGUACAUUGAAUGCGUACUGGAGCGCUCCAAUAUGAAGAAUGUUAAUCCUGUUAGUAUACCUCUUGCUGGUCAUAUGAAGUUGAGUAAGAAGAUAUGCCCUACAGCUAGGGAGGAAAAAGACAACAUGGCCAAAGUUCCAUAUUCCUCCGUCGUCGGAAGUCUAAUGUAUGCAAUGGUGUGCACUAGACCUGAUAUUGCUCACGUAGUUGGUGUUGUUAGUAGAUUUCUCGAAAAUCCGGGAAAAGAGCAUUGGGAAGCUAUGAAGUGGAUACUCAGGUAUCUUAGAAGAAGCUCAGAUGAAUGCUUGUGUUUUGGAGCAUCAAAUCCAAUCUUGAAAGGCUAUACAGAUUCUGAUAUGGCAGGUGACCUUGAUAACAAAAAUUCCACUACUGGAUAUUUGUUUACUUUUUCAAGGGGAGCUAUAUCAUGACAGUCAAAGUUGCAGAAGUGUGUUGCACUAUCUACAACUGAAGCUGAGUAUAUCGCGGCUACUGAAGCUGGCAAGGAGAUGAUAUGGCUAAAGAGAUUUCUUCAAGAGCUUGGUUUGAAUCAGAUAGAGUAUAUUGUCUAUUGUGACUGCCAGAGUGCAAUAGACUUGAGCAAAAACUCCAUGUACCAUGUAAAAAAACACAUCGACAUCAUAUAUCAUUGGAUUCGUGAGAAAGUGCAGAAUGAAUCAUUUCACGUCAAAAAGAUUCACACAAGUGAAAAUCCUGCAGAUAUGCUGACCAAGAUGAUACCGAAAGACAAGUUCGAGUUAUGCAAAGAACUUGUGGGUAUGAGCUCUCUCUAAAGAAGUUGAAAUACCUUCUUCCAGUAAAUGGGACUGGAGGGGGAGAUUUGUUGAAUCCAUCCCAUUUUUAGUCAAUUUUAGCUAUUCAAUUGGUACAAGCAAUUGUUAAAAAGGAAUAGUAAUUGGAGUUGAAAAUAAAAGAUUUGGUGGUUGCCAAAUUGGUAAGAUUUGCAACAAUUCUUGACUUUGCUAUAUUUACAUAUGUCAUUAGUGACAUAGGCAUGGUUUUAUUAUUCUAUAAAUAGAGCAUUUUUGCUCAUUUGUAGAACACACCAAGUUUGAGAGAAAAAUCAUUUUGAGAGUAAAGUGAUGUAUUGCAUAGACUAUACAAGAAAAUAGUCUGUGAAGAAAAAUAGAGUGUGAGCGAUAUUUUAGUAAGACGGAAACCAAAAGAGUGUUGUUCCUUUUGAGCGUGUAGUAGUCACUUUGAGUAUUAUAUCCGUGACUACACGGUGUAAAAAUUCCUUACUAUAGUAAUAUCAAUUGCUCCUCUUGGCCCGUGGUUUUUUCCCUUAUUCAGAAGGAUUUCCACGUAAAAUUAUUGGUGUCGUUAUUUUUCCAUUUUAUUUCCAUUACUUUUACCAUAUAUAUUUUUGUGCUCGUCCGCGUUUUCCCAACAACUCCCUCCCUUUUAGAAAGAAUUAUCCUAAUUCCUUUUUAGUAUGUUUAAAAAAAAUAACUUUUUUCCUUUUUUGACAAUACUUUAACUUUAACUUUAAUUCUCCACAAGGCAUGUUUAAGAUCACAAGAUUAAAUGACAUUUUGAUACAUUUGACAUAACUUUAUUUUAGAACCACAAGAUUAAAAAAUUUCUUUCUUUUCUUAAACUUUGUUUCAACUUUCAAGUCAAACUAGAUCAUUCUUUUUUAAAUGGAGGGAGUACUAAUUUAAGAUUUUUUUUUGUUUUUUGAUAAGAUCGAUUUUCCAUGAAUGAAGUUAAAAUUAUAAAUGUAAGUAUUUGUUAUCUAAUUUAUUUAUAAUUGAAAAUUAAUAAAAUCAUCUUAAAAAUUUGGGCUAAAUUUACUAGUGUCUUAUAACUAAAAAUGAUUAUGGUAACUUCUCAUCCACUUAAUUAACCCUUGUGAGUUGUAUUAUUUUUCCUCCAUUCUCUUGAUUAUUAAAUGUUUUGACUAUUUCAAUUUUGGCGAAAUAUUCUCAAUGCCUUUGCAGCAAAGAGCUAUGGAAUGAAAUUGUGAUGGACAUUUAGUUUCAAAACAAGUGACUGUGCGCAAGUUUAGAAAUUAUGUGUUGAGUGUUAAUCACAAGUAAUAGUAUUUAAACAACAUUUCACAAAGUGCUAAAAAAAAAAAAAAAAAAAAAAAACCUUUCAUACUUGUUGUCUCAUUGAGACCGAGCCCUAACUUCGAAAUAAAACUUCUUGUUGUCACGACCGGUCAAUAAAGGGCCAGAACCCCUAGAGAGUUAAAAGGUUCGACCCUUGACCUUGGUAACAACAACAGGAAGGUUUAAAGAAAACGAAAAAAAAUAAAAUAUCAAUAUAAAAAAUUGUUUUAAAAAAAAGGAAAAAAAAUAGAGAUGGGAGGUCCUAAGAUAAAGUAUAGCUUCCUGUUUCUAUGUAUCACUUUUGCUACAAUAAUACCAAGUCUUAUGGCUCAUAUUGGUCACUACGACGAGGUGUGGAGGAGAAGAGCCGAAGAAGCAAAGGAGUAUGCCCGUAAAAUUUAUGAACCACAUCCUGAAAAUGUCACGCUUGCAUUUAACCAAAAACUUCGGGAGUAAGUUAUAACUUUAUUUAUUCUUCAUUUUUCAUGUUUGUCUUUAUGUAUUCACGUUAUGGUUUGUAUUGCAGCACGAUGAAGGAAUUAAAGAAAGUAAAAGGUACACAUAAUAAUAGCACAAGGAGGGGUCUAGGGACAAAAAAGUACACUGGACCAUGCAUGGUCACAAAUCCAAUUGAUAAGUGUUGGAGAUGUGAUCCUAAUUGGGCAGACAAUAGGAAAAAAUUAGCAGAUUGUGCAAUGGGAUUUGGAUCUAAGGCCAUUGGUGGCAAAGACGGUGAAUUCUAUGUUGUCACAGAUAAUUCUGAUGAUUAUAAUGAUCCAAAACCCGGAACUCUUCGUCAUGCUGUUAUCCAAAAGGAGCCAUUGUGGAUCAUAUUUAAAAGGGGUAUGAACAUUAGGUAAGUACGUACGUUUCUCUAUAUAUAUAUAUGCAAUGCAAUGCAAUGCAAAUAGAAUUCAAUGCUCAUAUAUAUAUAUAUAUAUAAUGUUUCAUGAAUAGGUUGCACCAGGAGAUGAUCAUGCAGAGUGACAAGACGAUAGAUGCUCGUGGUGUUAAUGUUCACAUUACUAAAGGUGCUGGUAUAACCCUCCAGUACAUCAAGAAUGUGAUCAUCCACGGACUUCACAUUCAUGACAUCGUUGAGGGUAAUGGUGGAAUGGUUCGGGAUGCUGUUGACCAUAUUGGUAUACGUACAAAGAGUGAUGGAGAUGGUAUUUCAAUCUUCGGUGCAUCAAAUAUAUGGAUUGAUCAUGUGUCUAUGCAACGUUGUUAUGAUGGUUUGAUAGAUGCUGUAGAAGGAUCAACAGGUAUCACUAUAUCAAAUGGACAUUUCACUGAUCACAACGAGGUGAUGUUGUUUGGUGCAAGUGAUAGUUCUUCGAUUGAUCAAGUUAUGCAAAUAACAUUAGCUUUCAAUCAUUUUGGAAAGAGAUUGAUACAAAGAAUGCCAAGAUGUCGAUGGGGAUAUAUACAUGUUGUUAACAAUGAUUAUACUCAUUGGAAUAUGUAUGCCAUUGGUGGUAGCAUGCAUCCUACUAUCAUUACACAGGGUAAUCGUUUUAUAGCACCACCAGACAUCUUCAAGAAACAGGUAACAAAAAGGGAGUACAAUCCAGAAUCAGUUUGGAUGCAAUGGACAUGGAGAUCAGAAGGAAAUCUAUUCAUGAAUGGUGCAUACUUCACUGAAUCAGGAGAUCCAGAAUGGUCAAGCAAACACAAAGAUCUUUAUGAUGGAAUAUCAGCAGCUCCAGCAGAAGAUGUCACUUGGAUGACUAGAUUUGCAGGUGUACUUGGCUGCAAACCAGGAAAACCUUGUUAGAUCACUAAUUCGAGCUCUUCUUUUUUUGUAUCAGAUCACCAACUGAAAAUUCAUUUUUUCCUCUCACUAAAUUAUAACCCUUCGUUUUUCUUUUUCUCCUCAAUGAAGCCUUAACUUUGUACAUUAUUUUUCUAUGUACCUUCAAACAAUUAGUUUCAAAUAACAACAGAUAGCUCUUUAUAUAUUUAUCUCUUCAUUUAAUAUGAUCGAUCUAAACUCUCUAUUUGAGAAUUGCUGCAACAUGUAGCAUGCCAAAACUCAUAAUAGUACCAUUAAUUGUUAAUUCUGAUUUUAACAACUCUCCACAUUUAUUAAAUAUAAUUGCAUUACAUUUUAAUUAUGAUUUUAUUUAUUUGAACGUGCUGUAUCAUAUUGAAUCAAUAAAUAUAUAACGAUCAUAUUAUCAGGGGCGUAGGCACAUGUAUUGGAUAUCCUUCGUCGAAAAACAUACCACAUAUACAAAUAAAAUGAUGCAAGAAAUAUUUAAAAACAUAUUUACAUGGAUUGGGUCAAGCCCAUUGAUUGACUAGAAAAAUAAAAUAGUUAAGUUUCCAUUUCUUCAUUCUUAACAUGUUGAGCUCCAGAGGAACUAAUACCACUGUCAAAGAAAUUUGAUCUGGAAUCUAAUCAUGUCAUAUCGGAGAUGUCGACUUCAGCUAACAAUCCCUUUAUCAUAGACUAUCUGCCGCCUUGCCCUUCAAUUUAAUUUAUUGGAUUAUUGGUUGUUGUUCUUGGUCUUUUGUUGCUUGCUGUAGAUCCAUAUUAUUUUGACUCUUCUUUAUUCUUAUAUAUGGUAAGUCAAAUUUUUAGAGUUCUAACAAUGCCUUCCUUAACUUAAUAUCUCUCUCAAAGAAUUGAUUUUUUCCACCAUUGGACCUGCAAAAUUAAAAAUUAUGUUAGUACAAAAAUUUGCUGACUUGAUUGCCUCCUCUGUAAAUAUUUUCGACUAAGGCUCCAUUGUCUGCUAACACCCUCUUUAAGUAGAAGCAGCUCAAACAUAUUAAUGUCCUAAAACAAAAAUCAAACAAGAUCUUAAACUUGAAUUUUUUAAUAACUUGUAUAUAAUUGAUUUUUUCUAGUUUUCAAUUAAUAAUACGGAAAAGGGCCUAAAAUACCUCGAAGUAUUGAAAAUGGUACACAAUUACCCUCCAUCCACCUAUUGGCCCCCAAAUACCCUUUACAUCCACCUUUGGGUCCAAAUUUACCCCUUCAUUAACAGACCAAAAUUAAAAAUAAUUAAAUAAUAAUUUUUAAUGACGUGGCACUCAACCAUUGGUUGUAAUUUAAUUAUUUAAAAUAAUUUUAAACCCACCCAUUACCCACCCAUUUUAACUAAACCCACUCAUUUUAAUUAUUUAAAAUAACAACAGUGGAUAAUUUACCAGUACAUAAUCUGGUUUACUUACCAUCAAUAGAUUGUUCAUAAUAAUCGUUCAUCUUCUGGAUUUGCUCGAAGAAUGUUCAUCAAUGAUGUCCUGUUUAGCCUUAGAAUCUGAAAAAUCUCGGUUGUUCGAACAGCAAAUGGCUGCGGUCUCCCACAUAAAACACCUAUUUCUCCAAAUAUUUCUCCUGCAACGGCUUUUCCAAUUGUCUGUUUGGGAACAUGAUUGAGAAGAGAGAUUUAGUUAUAUAUCCUAAAGUUGACACUUAAUAAUAAUAGUUACUAUGUAGUAAUAUACAUACUUGCUCUAGCCCUUCAAUCUGUGCUAUAAAUUCCUGCAACAAUAACAUAUAACAUACUGAUUAACAACAUGACAAACACAGCUUUAAUAGUAUACACAAAAUCUAUAAACUGACUUACCACUGCUCCUGAAACUAUUAUAUACAGAUCAGUUGGUGCCUCAUUCUGCAAAAUUACGUCUUGCUUCGGAGGGAAGUAUUCAGCUUCCAUUUCAGGAACCUUAGAAAUCAAAGUAUCACACUGUUAAAACCAAUGCAAGAGUGAUCGAGAGAACAAAAGAGACGGCGAGGGAAGGGGAGAAAAUUACCAGUUGGAAAAGGAGGUUCGGGAAACACCUUGGAACAAAUGAACAUUUUGAACUAUAGGAAAAAACAGAUGGUGUGCAAUGCUUGUUCUAAUGGCUUUAGUCAGGCCAUUUGAUAAACCAGUAAUAUUGCUUUUCCUUUUACAUUUUUCUUUUCUGUUCCCUUCAUAUUUUAGGAUUUGGGGGUGGGGGGGAGGGAGAGAGAAGGGUAAUAAGGGAAAAAUGAAUGGGAAAGUAAUGGGUGGGUUUAGUUAAAAUGGGUGGGUAAUGGGUGGGUUUAAAAUUAUUUUAAAUAAUUAAAUUACAACCAAUGGUUGAGUGCCACGUCAUUAAAAAUUAUUAUUUAAUUAUUUUUAAUUUUGAUCUGUUAAUGAAGGGGUUAAUUUGGACCCAAAGGUGGAUGUGAAGGGUAUUUGGGGGCCAAUAGGCGGAUGGAGGGCAAUUGUGUACCAUUUUCAUUACUUCGAGGGUAUUUUAGGCCCUUUUCCGUUAAUAAUAUAAUCUUUCUUAUUUUAAAUUACUUUUCAUGAAAUAUAAUGAUCUAAGUAUGUCAAAUUUCAUCUAAUAGUUCCUUCAGUUUUUCAUGAAAAAUUUACUUUUCUACAAAUAGUAUUUAAUAAUUUUUAAGAAAUAAUAACUUAUAACUUAUUAUUCUUAAAAAUGAGGCCCUUAAAUUCGGAGGCCUAAGAUACAUGUUUUUUUCAAGUAUUUUGCAACAACUGCAAUAUUUCAUGGAGUUUCCCACACUCCAUUAAGUACCCUUUUACAUAUCAAAGAAUCUCUUUCUAAAACAACAAGCAUUACAUUGUGAGUGCAGCAAUACUCUGCCCCAAACAUUAGGGCUUCCAUUUCUUCCAUCAACACUGAUUCCUUCCUAAUAUUUUUUGUUUCUGCAUAUACAGAUUUUCCCUCAACAGCUCUGAUACAGAAUGCACUAGAAGAGUUGCCAGUCAAAGCAUCCAAUCCUCCAUCCCUAUUAUAUUUGAAGCUCAGUACAGGACAUGUCUGUCUCACCACUUUACAAGAUAUCACUAGUCUGUAAUUUUCAAAGAACAUGAUCAUUAAAGGCCAAUCAUCAGGAAUAUCAGCUAACCAAUGGUACAAAUACUUAACUCACAUAACCAAGUUACCCCCCCCCCCCCAUAUAGAUAAAAUACAUUCUGCCUCCAUUACUUAUUUUGUUCCUUCUUUUUCAAAAUUCCACCCAAUAAAAAUAGGCACAUGAAGAGUCAAAGGUUUAAGUUAAGAAGCACAUUCAAACUUCCACCAAAUAUCACACAUUUGUUUCAGCUGAACACCGUAAGAUUUUGUCAUGCCCCAAGAGCACCCUUUAGACAUGGCGCAAUGUACUUGAUCCCGAAGGGUCUCAUACAAGCCUCAUAGCAUUCAUAACAUUCGAUUAUAAGAAAAAUGGUAUGAAAUUAAAAUUAUCUAUUUAAAACCAUACAAUGCAAAAGUUCAUUUAAAGAUGCAAUGGAAGUCUACCAUCUCACAUGACUAUUUAAACAAGACAUUGAAAACAAAAGAUAGGGUCACCACCAUUUACAAUCGAAAGCCUCAACAUGUCUAAACAUAGUCUACUACAAAUGAAAGGAAAUGAACAUCUAAGCACUUGUCCUCGAUCUAUGAGGACAUACCUUUUUUGACUUGGAAGAAACUCAAGUUCAAGCUUUGACUAGAGAAAAAGCACUAAAAGUCCGGAACCUAAACUUGUAGUAAAAUAAGAGAAAUAUGGGUUAGCACAAUUAAGCAAUAAGUAUGAUAGCUAUGCAAAAACAUGCUUGAAACAUACAUUUUGUUUGAAAUCCACGCAUAUGCCAUUUUCAUAAAACAUCGUGAAUAUAAGCAUAAUAGGCACAGUAUACAAACAUAACCAACAUACAAGUCAUAUUUUCACACUUGAACAUAAUCAACAUAUAAACCCAUAAGUCAUAUUAUCACAUUAAAGUCUUCAUCUCAAGUAACCCCCAAACUAUACUUUGUGCAAUGUAUGAAUAGUGUCUCAUACCACUAUCCACACGAAGUACCACUUAAAGGCUACCUAAAGUGAACUUACCAUUCGACUUUUCCAUCUUUACACAAUACUCAAUCAUAAGAAACAUAAAUUUUACAUAAGUCACAUCAUCAUAUUAGGACCAUCAUCUAAGAUGACCUUAAGUCAUGCUUUUUCAAUGCAUAAGUAAUCUCCCACCCAUAAUACUACCCACACUAAGUACUUUCUUGAAUCCACCAUUGACUAGGCAUAUACAUGUUCAUUAAGUCAAGACAAUGGAAUAACUCAUAAUACAAUCCAAAUAAGACAUACAUGAUUUCAUUAAGCAUAUAAGUCAAAAUUCAUUGUUGAUUAAGGACACAUUCAUAUAUAGGUCAGUAAGACCUUAGAGAACUCACUCUAGCCCUCUUAAUACAUACUCAUGCAAUGCAUGGAUGACAUCCCAUAAUACCACCACGCUUCAUAGAUCUUCUCAAGAAACCAUAAUGAAUAUCUCACAUGAUGGGAAUAAGCGUAUAACUUACAUAGACCAUGAGAGAUAGGUCAUGGAAUCCAAUGUCAUAAAACUCUACAUCGUAAAAGUUGAUCAACUUGCGUUACGUCGAUCGGUAAGUAGAUCCACUAGCUAUCCUAUGCGAGCACAUGGUUAUGGGAUAAAAAGGUUGCUACUAGAUACCCCGCCUUAACUCACAUAUGGGUAUCCACCCCAAGAGAUUGCUCUCUACUCAUGGAUGAGUAUCUAUCUCAUUCAAUACCCUCUCGGUUCUUAGCCUACAUUGCCAUAUGGUAUAUAAUUUCUUUAGUUCAUCAUUAAAGGAAAAGAGAUUGUUACUAGACAUUCUGCCCCAACUCACGGGUGAGCAUCAAUCUCAAACCCCACAUUCAUUCAUUAGUGUACAAUUGAGAAUGGCCUCUGAAUUAACAUAUCUUCAUUACCAUAAUCUGAGAAACUUCAUUCAUUCAAGAGUGUGUGUAUACGUGAGAAUAGCCUUUUACAUUACCAACAACAUUUAUGAAAUUGCUUUCUAAUAAUAAUCAUAGCACAUUCAUAGUAAUCACACACAUAUAAUCCUCAUCAUAUUCAUAUAUUACCCAUUUAUACUUUGUCUUUCAAGAUCAUGAUCACAAUAUACACAAUUAAUAUGUAAACACUUCCACCUUUCAAGUGGAUCAAUAGUUCAAGCAUAAUUCUACUUUAACAUGUAAUUGAAUCAUAACUUACCCUUCCAAGGGUCAUACUUCCAAAUCAUCACCACACACAACAAUUGAAAUAAUAAACAUGAAUAUUAACUCAAUUCAAUAACUAAAACAUCAUAAAUUCAAUUAGAGUAUUCACCCAAUCAUCAUUCAUUCAAGCCAACAUUCACGAAAAUAAGUCUUGCGGGAAAUCAUGGGUUCAUGGGGAAUUUCUUCAAUCAUUCACCUUAAAACAACAAAUUAAUCAUACGAUAAGUUCAUUUAAGCAGUUGAAAUCGUUUUAUGAAAGAACCUAUUAUUUGAGAGAAACCCUAGAAUUUUGGGUAAAUUUCAUCUUUGAAAAGAGAGUUUUGAGGGCUUCUUAGGUGAUAGCUACCAAGAAUCAAAACUAUCAUACCUUGAUAUUGAUUUCCCAAUAUGAAACACCUUGAAAUCACCAAACCCAAGCUUCAAUGGUUUCUUUCUUCUUCCUUGAGUUUAGAGAGAGAAAUUUUAAGAGAAGAACUUUUGGGGUUUUGAUUUGGGUAUUUGAAAAUAAUGAAGUUAAUGAAGUGUUUUAAGACUUAAAACUAUUUAUAUUAAUUAUAUAAAAUAUUUAAAAUCAACACCACUUAAUAAUUAACUAAAACAAAAUUACUUAAAACUCCUAAAUUUGGGCAGCCCGUCAGGGACCACACCCAACUUCACGGCUCAUGAAGGGGGACCACGGCGCGUGGUAAUGCCCGUGGUCCCUAGGCAGUGUGCCCUCUUUUACUUUAUAAAACUAAGAUGCUAAGGAAUCUUCACAGACACUUCUAUGGGUCGUGGUCAAGACCAGUGACUGUGAAGUGGUCCAUGAAGUUUGAAUAGUAGCUUGGGCAAAGUGCCUUGCCUCCCAUACCACCAAGUGACCUUCACGGCCACUGGCCAUGAAGUGGUCCGUGGACUUGGGACAGUGUUUGUCCAAGCUUGGGCAAGCCUUGGCCUUCCUUGGCUUUGCACUUUCCCUUGCAACCCUUAACCAACAUUAAAAAGGGUCUUUCAAUUAUGGAGUCUAUAUUGUAUCUUGACGUUGACUCACAAAACUCCUUCAAACAAGAAUCGGGACAACAUUACAUGUCAAGAAACCUCAUUACAAACUCUAACACAAGGUCGUUGGGAUCUAGUUUCACUUAUUCAUUUUACGCGUCAUUAUGCAUUUAAUACCAGAUGCCCCAAUAAUCAUCUGCCAUAGUUUUAAAGCAUCUGGACAUUGAACAAAAAGAUGUUCAAAAGUUUCUUGAUGAUAACUAUUGCAACAACAUUUCACUUCACUUUCCACCUUGAUUUUCACAGACACUUUUCGACUGGGAAUUCUCUUCCUCCGGACUCUCCACAUGAAAAAUGAGAUUUUUAAUGGAAUUCCCUUUGGCCAAAUAAAUUUCAUCUCCUACUGAUGUGAACAUCUCCUUCUUAAUUCCUCCCAGAAAGAUUUAAUAGUAAAUUUUAUAUAGCUUGUUAUCAUCCACCAGGCCUUAUCCCAUUCCCAUUCUUCUGAUUUCCCUACUACGGCCAGUACCUUGUGAAUUUGAUUGAUCACUUAAUCAUCAAAUAUUUGCAUCAAUAGUUCAUUAUUUCACUUACCUUGUAUCAACAACUACUUGAUAUCUUCAUAAGUAUUCUUGUCUCUUGCGUGCAGUCUUAUAUUGCUUGUAUGUAGUGAUUGUGAACACCGUGAUGAAGCGUGCAAUAUGUUAUGAUGUUGAAGUCUUUGUCGGUGAGUUUUAUGAUAUCGAGGUCUUUAUCGACGAGUGUUGUGAUGUCAAGUUUAUUUCUAAUUAGUGUUUAUAAAAGAAUAUGGAAAAUAAUUUUAGCUAGUAAUUUGAUAUAAAGCCAAUGGAAAAUGGUUCUGUCUAGUAAUAUAAAUAAAACCGAUGAAAUGGUUUCUCCUAGUGAUAUUGUUCGAUGGGAAAUGGUUUCAGUAAGGAUUGAUCAGUGUGACUUAAUGCAUUUGAUGCUUAUACAUGACUCAAUUACUUGUUAAUUGUGAUUGGUGUACUUAUUACAUGUAGCUAAACUAUUUGACAUUGAGAUUGACUUAUUUGAUUUGUUAAUAGUUGGAUUGUGAAGAUUGAACUGUGAAUAUUGGGUCUUAUGAGUCGUGUAUUGUAGAAUUUCUAAGUUAUCCCGAUUUUGUGCAGGUUGUAGGUUGAGGAGGUUCCAUUGGAGUGUAAGGGGUAUUGGAUUUCUAGCUAGUUGUUUUCUAGUAGGUUGUUUUCUGGGUACCGUGUUGUUCGUACUCACCCUCGCUUUUACACUUUUGUAGGUUCUAAGCCCAGAAACACGUAAUCUUUUUGUUCUUCUUCUCCUGACAUCGAGGCUCAUUGAAGGAUUUUAGAGGUACCUGCUUGUCAUCAAGGUGGGCCCCUCUUUUCCUAUUCAUUAAGCUUUGUUUUAUUUAAAAGACAAACACCGCGACUUGUAUUUAUCUUUUGAAAUCGAUAAUUUCAUUAGUUGCGUGUACGCGUGCCAAACAAAUUUUGGGGGGGGGGGGGUUAUUAGAAAAGUACGUUUUUCUCUUUAUCUUGUUCUCAUAUUUACUUUUUUCCGUAUUUCACUCAUUUUCUUGGGUUGAGGAUGUCUUGUCUUGGUGGGAAAAGAAAAAUGUCAUAACGUCCAUUAUUUUGGGCUGUGACAUAGGGCGAGGUCCCAAACAAUAUAUUUCAGGUGAUGUUUAGUGAAUUUAAGGUAUAUAUAUGUUCAGUUAUAUAUAUUUUUAGUGAAGUUUAAUACUUUAGUGUGCUUUACUUUAUUAAUUAUCUAAGGCUAUUAAUUUUUUAAACUAUUUGUGCUUGGGAGCCCUAAUACAAUAUGAUAAGUGCAAUCACAUUUGAGAGAAAGACAUUCGCUAGACUUUCUAGUUGGCUAAACAAAUCCUAGUAUAAUGAUAAGUGUGGGAUUUGGAUGUUACCUCAUAUUUUGAGCAAUUGCACCAGUAUUGAAACACGGAUGAAUUCAAGGCAUUGUCUGAACAAGCCAAAAAAGUUAGUAAUAAUCUUAAGGGUGGCUCGUUACACAUCAGAAGUUUAAAGAGCGUUGGAACAACUAUAAGAAAGAUUAUAAGUUCUAAUCUAAAAUUUUAAAGUAAAUAGUUAGUUGAUUAAGUAUUAUUUGAUUAAUAUCGUAUAAAAUUUUACUUCUAUUUAUAGGAAAUAGAGUUGGGUCGCAUUCCCCUUGAACCGCAGAUUUUCAAGAUGUGGGUGGAGUAAAUGACUGAACAAACUUUUGUUUUGAUGCUAAUUUUAUUUUUAAUAUGUAGGGAGAGUAUCAAUGGUACGUGCAUGAGAAAAUGGAAAAUCCAAUCCAGAUCACACCUAAAAUAUCCACUCUAAUUGGACUGAAAUAAUGGUAGCGGGACGCACAAGGGAAGAAUCUAUUGUUUUGGCUCUCUAGAUGAUGUACAAUGACUUCAGUCAGGUCUAGAAGUUAUUGAAUUGUCACGGCAAGCAAAGGCAAAUUGACUAGCUGCUAUGUUGGAUUAAGUAGCGAAAUUUCCACAAGCACUGGCAUAGUCUAAGCAAAAAAGGAAUUGUUGAUCAAAAAAGGAAGAAUAACACCGUUCAACAAAUUGAUCAAAAAAUAAGUGUUCAACCUUUGCUCGUCGGUCUGCUUCUUCAUUCCCUACCAAGGACACUGAUGACAGUGAUGAGGAUGAAUACAUAUAGAGUCCACUCCUUAGCUUGUGUUCCUUUAAUUUAUGAGCAUUUUAGACUUUUGAACUAAUUUUAAAAGACACUAUAAGUCUUUAAAAUGUGAUGUAUGUGUUUUAUAAAGUUCAAUUAAGUUUGUUAUUAUAUAUUUUGUUUAUUAUAUUUUUUGUUUGAUAUAUAUGAAUGAGUUGAAUUCAAUUGCAUGUGGACAACAGAAACAAACAAUUUAUGUUGUCAAAAAUAUUGUAGAAAAGCAAUGGACAUGAUGAUUUUGUCCAUCGCUUUUAUGUUUUUUAUCUUAAAAAAAAGUAAUAGAAAAAGCAAAAGACAUAGUCCUCUAGUUUGUCACUUUUCUGCAUUUUAAAAAAAAAUUCCAAAAAAGCGAUGAACUGCGACAUUUUUUCCGUCGCUUUUCUACAUAUUUAAAAAAAAGAAAAAGAAAGGGAAUGUGUUUCCUUGUCCGUCUCUUUUCUGUAUUUUAAAAAAAUAAAAAGAGAAAAACCACACACUCCAUCGUUCUAUAGGGACAACUGAUAAUUUUCUUCACAAAAAAGACCCAUCAAAACUGUGGAGUCUGUUGCUUUUUACAAAGUUUCGAGGACAAAAGCAACAGACUCAACUAUAUCAUUUUUUUCAAUAUUUUUCUACAAAAAAAAAAGAAGAAGUGAUGGACUGUGUUGCAUUGUCCAUCGCUUUUUGCAUAUAUUUUUUUUAAAAAAAGUGACAUACUGUCACUUUUUUGCAUUUUAGAGUUUUCUUUAAAAAAGAAGAUAAAAAGUGAUGCAAUCCUUCGAAAAGUGUCGAGGACCAAAGCGACAGACUAGAGUGCAUUUCUUUUCUGUCGAUUUUGACCAAAAAGUAAUGCAUUUCAUUGCCUUUGUCCAUCUUUUUUUGAUAGUCUUUUAGUCAUAUGUCAAAAUUGAAAACGAACAAUCUUUAUAUACGGAUUAAGAAGGAAAGUAGGACAAACAAAUUAAUAAGAAAGAAAUAUUUAUUUAUUUUAUUUGUUUUUUUAAAACUUUUCCUACCGUAGCACUAGCUCAUUUUUUAACAAGUUUGAUAUGAUAAAUUGAAAAAAUAACGAAAUAAGCUAUUAUGAAUAAUGACUUAUAUAAAUACAUUGAUGACGUAAAAAUUAUUUAAUGACUUAUACACAUACAUUGAUAAUGUAUAAUAUGUGUGGUUAUAUAAAUAAAAGUGGUUUGUUAUUGGAAGGCUAUAAGAAGACGAUAUAUAAGCAAGAAUUUGUGACACACCAUGUUUAUCGUUCCUUAUUUGAAGUAAUGGAUCAAAAUCAUGUUCAUUUAUGAGUAUAUAAAUAAGGUGAUUGUAUGAAUGAAAAUAAGCACAAAGAGGAACAAAUAAUGUUGCUUGUUUAGGAAUAAUUAAUUAUCCUAUUUUUCUCACAACACUUUUUUAAGGGUAGUAGUGGUGUAAAGGAUUGACCUUACAUCAACUACCAUCAACACCCCUAGCAAAUUUUAACAAUAACCCCAACUUACCUACCAACCUACCUACCUUAUUAAUUAUAAUAAUGGAGUAUUCUUAUAGAACAAAAAUUAAUGUAUUAUUCAUUGUACUCAUUCUCUUUGUAUUUGCUGCACUCGGGACAGCAAUAAACGCUCCGAGGAGGAAACUAACUAAGAAAUACAGAGGCCCGUGUAUGGCCGUGAAUUCAAUUGACAAGUGCUGGAGAUGUGACCCUUUCUGGGCUGAAGAUCGCCAAAAAAUGGCUGAUUGUGCGUUGGGCUUUGGUAUCAAUGCAAUGGGAGGAAAGUAUGGUCCAUACUACAUUGUCACAGAUAAUUCUGAUGAUGACGUUGUUGAUCCUAAGCCUGGAACUCUCCGAUUCGGGGUGAUCCAAAAAGGACCAUUGUGGAUCACAUUUGCCAGAAGUAUGAGAAUCCGAUUGACCAGGGAACUUAUUGUUAGUAGCAAUAAAACAAUUGAUGGACGUGGAAAAUACGUUCACAUAGCAAAUGGAGCUGGAAUUAAGAUACAAAGCGCAUCUAAUGUUAUUAUCUCUAAUCUUCGAAUUCACAAUAUUGUACCUACCGCAGGUGGCCUGCUAAGGGAGUCUGACGACCACCUUGGCCUAAGGGGCGCAGAUGAAGGUAAUAUAAAUGACUAUAUAUAUUGAUUGAAAAAAGAGAAGAGAAUUUAAAUAAUUUAAUUAUGCAUACAGGUGAUGCCAUCAGUAUCUUCAAUUCUCAUGAUAUAU